This 445-nucleotide ribosomal RNA is filed under the name uncultured bacterium. RNAcentral describes it as "bacterial SSU rRNA". It matches the Rfam family "Bacterial small subunit ribosomal RNA", at positions 355 to 822 of the family's 1533-position model. The record is from RNAcentral.
UCGGGAAUUUUGGGCAAUGGGCGAAAGCCUGACCCAGCAACGCCGCGUGAAGGAUGAAGUAUUUCGGUAUGUAAACUUCGAAAGAAUAGGAAGAAUAAAUGACGGUACUAUUUAUAAGGUCCGGCUAACUACGUGCCAGCAGCCGCGGUAAGACGAGGGAUCCUAGCGUUGUUCGGAAUUAUUGGGCGUAAAGCGGGUGUAGGCGGACUUAUAAGUCAGGUGUGAAAUCCCAGGGCUCAACCCUGGAAGUGCACUUGAUACUGCAAGUCUUGAGUGUGGUAGAGGCUAUUAGAAUUCCUGGUGUAGUGGUGAAAUACGUAGAUAUCAGGAGGAAUACCGGAGGCGAAGGCGGAUAGCUGGGCCAACACUGACGCUGAGACCCGAAAGCGUGGGGAUCAAACAGGAUUAGAUACCCUAGUAGUCCCUGAGCGGGCUGGGCAAGGCG